AGAGUUUGAUCCUGGCUCAGGAUGAACGCUGGCGGCGUGCUUAACACAUGCAAGUCGAACGAAGCACUUUAUUUGAUUUCUUCGGAAUGAAGAUUUUGUGACUGAGUGGCGGACGGGUGAGUAACGCGUGGGUAACCUGCCUCAUACAGGGGGAUAACAGUUGGAAACGACUGCUAAUACCGCAUAAGCGCACAGGGUCGCAUGACCUGGUGUGAAAAACUCCGGUGGUAUGAGAUGGACCCGCGUCUGAUUAGCCAGUUGGUGGGGUAACGGCCUACCAAAGCGACGAUCAGUAGCCGACCUGAGAGGGUGACCGGCCACAUUGGGACUGAGACACGGCCCAAACUCCUACGGGAGGCAGCAGUGGGGAAUAUUGCACAAUGGGGGAAACCCUGAUGCAGCGACGCCGCGUGAGCGAAGAAGUAUUUCGGUAUGUAAAGCUCUAUCAGCAGGGAAGAAGAAAUGACGGUACCUGACUAAGAAGCACCGGCUAAAUACGUGCCAGCAGCCGCGGUAAUACGUAUGGUGCAAGCGUUAUCCGGAUUUACUGGGUGUAAAGGGAGCGCAGGCGGUACGGCAAGUCUGAUGUGAAAGCCCGGGGCUCAACCCCGGUACUGCAUUGGAAACUGUCGGACUAGAGUGUCGGAGGGGUAAGUGGAAUUCCUAGUGUAGCGGUGAAAUGCGUAGAUAUUAGGAGGAACACCAGUGGCGAAGGCGGCUUACUGGACGAUUACUGACGCUGAGGCUCGAAAGCGUGGGGAGCAAACAGGAUUAGAUACCCUGGUAGUCCACGCCGUAAACGAUGAUACUAGGUGUCGGGGAGCAU
RNAcentral lists this ribosomal RNA (826 nucleotides) under uncultured bacterium. RNAcentral describes it as "bacterial SSU rRNA". It matches the Rfam family "Bacterial small subunit ribosomal RNA", at positions 8 to 833 of the family's 1533-position model. The record is from RNAcentral.